RNAcentral lists this ribosomal RNA (274 nucleotides) under uncultured bacterium. Its description in RNAcentral is "partial 16S ribosomal RNA". It matches the Rfam family "Bacterial small subunit ribosomal RNA", at positions 523 to 796 of the family's 1533-position model. The record is from RNAcentral.
AUACGGAGGGUGCAAGCGUUAAUCGGAAUUACUGGGCGUAAAGCGCUCGUAGGCGGUUUGUUAAGUCGGAUGUGAAAGCCCCGGGCUCAACCUGGGAACUGCAUUCGAAACUGGCAGGCUAGAGUAUGGUAGAGGGAAGUGGAAUUCCGGGUGUAGCGGUGAAAUGCGUAGAUAUCCGGAGGAACAUCAGUGGCGAAGGCGGCUUCCUGGACCAAUACUGACGCUGAGGUGCGAAAGCGUGGGGAGCAAACAGGAUUAGAAACCCGAGUAGUCC